AUCAGAUUUUCAUUUUAUUAAAAUAAAAAAUUUCAAUUAAUUAGAAAAAAAAGAAAAUAAUUGAAAGAGGAAAAUUAGGGUUACGCUAUGCCUCAAGAACUUCCUCAGGCUAACCCUCACUCCUCUCGUUCUCAGACAAGUGCGACGGUGCCGCUCACAAACCCCUUCUCUGGCUAAAAAUUCGACGAACACCGCCAUGAACAACCAAACUACCCCACCUUCGGUUCAUUUCUUGCAUUCAUUUCGUCAAUUUCACCUUAUUCUCCCUAAAUCUAGCAAAAUCGUUUAGAAAUCCUAAGCGCAAAAUUCCAAUUACAGAGCAACAAUCGAAUUAUGAAGCCUUAGGUUUAUGAUUCAUGGAACUUCAAUCUACACAGAAGUAUGAAGGAGACGAAGGAUGAAUGAAAUAAAGGGAGUUCCAAGGCUUACCUAAUGUGCGAAAUGGCGAAGACCGUUGAAGAAAACCAGAGGGGAGAUAAUAAGGACAUGGUUGGGUUUGCAAGUGCGACGACACGAUCUUGGUAUAACCUGCUGGUGAUCAUGAGCAAAGGGGCUAUCAUAUUGGCAACUGCUGAAGUGGUUAAUGGCUAGCUAUUGUGUUAGUUUGGUGAAUGUUGAACUUAACAUAGAGAUUUGAUCCUGGAAUGUGAAUGUAAUAAUGUGGACAUUGUAUAGACUGAAACAACAUUGCUUUAGCUGUCAAUAUUUCGGUUAUGUAUGGUGCGGGUUAUGAAUGUGGUUUUGGUAGCAAGUGGAGGUGGGGCAGAACCGAUAUGGACGGAUUUGGAUGCAAGUAGAAGCAAGAAAAUGGCAUAGAAUUUUGGAUAGGUUUAUACUGUGACAAUUGGAACAAGGCGAAUGGGAUUAAUUUGAAUCAAGUUCUGUGGUUGUUCGAAUGUAUGCUUUAGGAUAGGUAGUUUAAGGUUUGUAUGUGUAGGUUUUUGUACAUGUAACAAAAGAUAGGCAUGGUUUGUAAAUAGUGAGUUUUAUUUGUAAAUUUGAAUUUGAACUUGAAUGAAUGCACUUGGAAUAAUGUUGGUUUUGAAUGUUGUUGUAUUGAGAAUGGAUGAUGAAUAUAUUUGUUCUUGAA
Molecule: long non-coding RNA, 1090 nt
Organism: Vicia villosa (hairy vetch)
Lineage: Eukaryota; Viridiplantae; Streptophyta; Magnoliopsida; Fabales; Fabaceae
Exons: 3
Source: RefSeq, a predicted model, not a curated record